This 153-nucleotide small RNA is filed under the name Corynebacterium sphenisci. Its description in RNAcentral is "c-di-AMP sequence". It matches the Rfam family "c-di-AMP riboswitch aptamer (ydaO/yuaA leader)". Rfam says of the family: This family represents a conserved RNA structure found upstream of the ydaO and yuaA genes in Bacillus subtilis and related genes in other bacteria. The ydaO/yuaA element is thought to act as a genetic "off" switch for the ydaO and yuaA genes in its native state. Lineage: Bacteria; Bacillati; Actinomycetota; Actinomycetes; Mycobacteriales; Corynebacteriaceae. RNAcentral also lists the same sequence under 1 other name. The record is from RNAcentral.
AAGACGUACAGGCCUAAUCGCCGGCCCCCGCGGUCGGCGAGCCGGGGACCCACCUCCUCGGGGUGAAUCCCGCCGCAGCCGCGGCGGGUAGGGAGAUCUUCCACGCUCCCGAACCCGUCAGCUAACCCGGUCCGCACGCAUCAGGAAGAAACU